AGAGUUUGAUCCUGGCUCAGGACGAACGCUGGCGGCGUGCCUAAUACAUGCAAGUCGAACGGGGUUCAUCCGGUGGCAACACCGGAGAAGACCUAGUGGCGAACGGGUGAGUAGCACGUGAGCAACCUGCCCCGAAGACUGGGAUAACACCCGGAAACGGGUGCUAAUACCGGAUAUCCCCGCCGGACCGCAUGGUCUGGUGAGGAAAUGGAUUCCGCUUCGGGAGGGGCUCGCGGCCUAUCAGCUUGUUGGUGAGGUAACGGCUCACCAAGGCUACGACGGGUAGCUGGUCUGAGAGGACGAUCAGCCACACUGGGACUGAGACACGGCCCAGACUCCUACGGGAGGCAGCAGUAGGGAAUCUUGCGCAAUGGGCGAAAGCCUGACGCAGCAACGCCGCGUGAGGGACGAAGGCUUUCUGAGUUGUAAACCUCUUUCAGCAGGAACGAUGAUGACGGUACCUGCAGAAGAAGCACCGGCCAACUACGUGCCAGCAGCCGCGGUGAUACGUAGGGUGCGAGCGUUGUCCGGAUUUAUUGGGCGUAAAGAGCUCGUAGGCGGUUCGAUCAGUCGGGUGUGAAAUCUCCAGGCUCAACCUGGAGUCGCCACUCGAUACUGUCGUGACUCGAGUCCGGUAGGGGACCAUGGAAUUCCUGGUGUAGCGGUGAAAUGCGCAGAUAUCAGGAGGAACACCAGUAGCGAAGGCGGUGGUCUGGGCCGGCACUGACGCUGAGGAGCGAAAGCGUGGGGAGCGAACAGGAUUAGAUACCCUUGUAGUCC
This 780-nucleotide ribosomal RNA is filed under the name uncultured bacterium. Its description in RNAcentral is "bacterial SSU rRNA". It matches the Rfam family "Bacterial small subunit ribosomal RNA", at positions 8 to 796 of the family's 1533-position model. The record is from RNAcentral.